Molecule: long non-coding RNA, 329 nt
Filed under: Nilaparvata lugens (brown planthopper)
Lineage: Eukaryota; Metazoa; Arthropoda; Insecta; Hemiptera; Delphacidae
Description: uncharacterized LOC120354949
Source: RNAcentral
CGGUUUUCGGUUUUUGGAAUGAGUUGGUUGUUUUGUUGUUUGUAAUUUUUGUGAUUUGAUCCAGAAAUAGCCUAUAGGAGCUGUGGUGAUGAAAUUUUCGAACACAAAAGAGAAAGACAUGGAAGCAGUAAUCAAAGACUGGCUGAAGUCUUCAAAAACUCGGUUUACCAGCAAAGAGAAAUCUAAGUACGAAAUGUUCAAACACCGGAUCCUGCAGGAAAAUCUGAAUGCUUCAAAAAUUGAGAUUGAAUUGAGGUGCAGUAACGUAAACCAGUAUGUAGCUCAAAAAAUUGCUACUUUAAACAGGAAGAGAUUAAAGUAUUCUGGAG